Molecule: unclassified non-coding RNA, 621 nt
Filed under: Trichoderma virens
Lineage: Eukaryota; Fungi; Ascomycota; Sordariomycetes; Hypocreales; Hypocreaceae
Description: sequence contains 18S rRNA gene, ITS1, 5.8S rRNA gene, ITS2, 28S rRNA gene
Rfam family: 5.8S ribosomal RNA (bases 246-399)
Source: RNAcentral
AGUCGUAACAAGGUCUCCGUUGGUGAACCAGCGGAGGGAUCAUUACCGAGUUUACAACUCCCAAACCCAAUGUGAACGUUACCAAACUGUUGCCUCGGCGGGAUCUCUGCCCCGGGUGCGUCGCAGCCCCGGACCAAGGCGCCCGCCGGAGGACCAACCAAAACUCUUAUUGUAUACCCCCUCGCGGGUUUUUUACUAUCUGAGCCAUCUCGGCGCCCCUCGUGGGCGUUUCGAAAAUGAAUCAAAACUUUCAACAACGGAUCUCUUGGUUCUGGCAUCGAUGAAGAACGCAGCGAAAUGCGAUAAGUAAUGUGAAUUGCAGAAUUCAGUGAAUCAUCGAAUCUUUGAACGCACAUUGCGCCCGCCAGUAUUCUGGCGGGCAUGCCUGUCCGAGCGUCAUUUCAACCCUCGAACCCCUCCGGGGGGUCGGCGUUGGGGAUCGGCCCUUUACGGGGCCGGCCCCGAAAUACAGUGGCGGUCUCGCCGCAGCCUCUCCUGCGCAGUAGUUUGCACACUCGCAUCGGGAGCGCGGCGCGUCCACAGCCGUUAAACACCCCAAACUUCUGAAAUGUUGACCUCGGAUCAGGUAGGAAUACCCGCUGAACUUAAGCAUAUCAAUAA